RNAcentral lists this ribosomal RNA (301 nucleotides) under uncultured bacterium. RNAcentral's name for it is "partial 16S ribosomal RNA". It matches the Rfam family "Bacterial small subunit ribosomal RNA", at positions 509 to 807 of the family's 1533-position model. The record is from RNAcentral.
CAGUAGCCGCGGUAAUACGUAGGUGGCAAGCGUUGUCCGGAAUUAUUGGGCGUAAAGGGCUCGCAGGCGGUUUCUUAAGUCUGAUGUGUAAGCCCCCGGCUCAACCGGGGAGGGUCAUUGGAAACUGGGAAACUUGAGUGCAGAAGAGGAGAGUGGAAUUCCACGUGUAGCGGUGAAAUGCGUAGAGAUGUGGAGGAACACCAGUGGCGAAGGCGACUCUCUGGUCUGUAACUGACGCUGAGGAGCGAAAGCGUGGGGAGCAAACAGGAUUAGAUACCCCCGUAGUCCCUGUCUCUUAUAC